This 461-nucleotide ribosomal RNA is filed under the name uncultured bacterium. RNAcentral's name for it is "bacterial SSU rRNA". The stretch from base 1 to 382 matches the Rfam family "Bacterial small subunit ribosomal RNA", at positions 1156 to 1533 of the family's 1533-position model. The record is from RNAcentral.
GGUCAACUCGGAGGAAGGUGGGGAUGACGUCAAGUCAUCAUGCCCCUUACGUCCAGGGCUGCACACAUGCUACAAUGGUCGGUACAACGGGACGCUACCUCGCGAGAGUGAGCAAAUCCCAAAAGCCGGCCUCAGUUCGGAUCGCAGUCUGCAACUCGACUGCGUGAAGUCGGAGUCGCUAGUAAUCCCGGAUCAGCAACGCCGGGGUGAAUACGUUCCCGGGCCUUGUACACACCGCCCGUCACACCACGAAAGUCGGCAGCACCCGAAGCCGGUGGCCCAACCAGUUUUCUGGAGGGAACCGUCGAAGGUGGGGUUGGCGAUUGGGGUGAAGUCGUAACAAGGUAGCCGUACCGGAAGGUGCGGCUGGAUCACCUCCUUUCGUAGGGAGUCAUACCGGCUUUGCCGGUGACAACCGNGUCGAUCACUGGAUAUAAGCUGCUCAGGUAUUCGUUGUCUGG